UGAAAAGAAUCUUUUUUAGAAGUGAAAAGAACAUGAAAUUUGAUAUUAAUAACUUGUUGAAGUUUUGUCUUAUAAAGACAGAAUGCCAAUUUACCUUUUGUAUCAUGGACUAGCAAGUUUAUUUUUGCAGCAAGCUUAAGUUAAAAAAACGUAGGCUUAGUUAACACAAGUAUAGAAACAAAAAAGUUGCAAGAAUAAAACCCGAAACCAAUUGAUUUAGCCAUGAGCAGGCCAAAAAUAUAAUAAAUUAUAUAUCAGGGCCGUAUUCUUAGUUGUUGCAAAAACUUGAAAUGACUUGUGGUUAGGGGUGAAAGGUCAAACAAAAUUGGUAAUAGCUGGUUUCUUGCGAAAAAUAUUUAAGUAUUGCGUAAAAAAAGUUUAUAAAAGGUAGA
This 392-nucleotide ribosomal RNA is filed under the name Tiarina fusus. Its description in RNAcentral is "Tiarina fusa partial Bacterial large subunit ribosomal RNA". It matches the Rfam family "Bacterial large subunit ribosomal RNA", at positions 515 to 906 of the family's 2925-position model. The record is from RNAcentral. Lineage: Eukaryota; Ciliophora; Prostomatea; Prorodontida; Colepidae.